AGCGGAGGACAUGUGGUUUAUUCGAUGCAACGCGAAGAACCUUACCUACUCUUGACAUCCAGAGAACUUUCCAGAGAUGGUUUGGUGCCUUCGGGAACUCUGAGACAGGUGCUGCAUGGCUGUCGUCAGCUCGUGUUGUGAAAUGUUGGGUUAAGUCCCGCAACGAGCGCAACCCUUAUCCUUUGUUGCCAGCGGUCCGGCCGGGAACUCAAAGGAGACUGCCAGUGAUAAACUGGAGGAAGGUGGGGAUGACGUCAAGUCAUCAUGGCCCUUACGAGUAGGGCUACACACGUGCUACAAUGGCGCAUACAAAGAGAAGCGACCUCGCGAGAGCAAGCGGACCUCAUAAAGUGCGUCGUAGUCCGGAUUGGAGUCUGCAACUCGACUCCAUGAAGUCGGAAUCGCUAGUAAUCGUGGAUCAGAAUGCCACGGUGAAUACGUUCCCGGGCCUUGUACACACCGCCCGU
This 467-nucleotide ribosomal RNA is filed under the name Enterobacter cloacae. Its description in RNAcentral is "bacterial SSU rRNA". It matches the Rfam family "Bacterial small subunit ribosomal RNA", at positions 928 to 1397 of the family's 1533-position model. Lineage: Bacteria; Pseudomonadati; Pseudomonadota; Gammaproteobacteria; Enterobacterales; Enterobacteriaceae. The record is from RNAcentral.